RNAcentral lists this ribosomal RNA (466 nucleotides) under uncultured bacterium. RNAcentral describes it as "bacterial SSU rRNA". It matches the Rfam family "Bacterial small subunit ribosomal RNA", at positions 9 to 523 of the family's 1533-position model. The record is from RNAcentral.
GAGUUUGAUCAUGGCUCAGAACGAACGCUGGCGGCAGGCUUAACACAUGCAAGUCGAACGCCCCGCAAGGGGAGUGGCAGACGGGUGAGUAACACGUGGGAACGUGCCCUAAGGUUUGGAAUAUUCCCGGGAAACUGGGAGCAAUACCAAAUGUGUCCGCAAGGAGAAAGAUUUAUCGCCUUAGGAUCGGCCCGCGUCAGAUUAGGUAGUUGGUGGGGUAAUGGCCUACCAAGCCGACGAUCUGUAGCUGGUCUGAGAGGACGACCAGCCACACUGGGACUGAGACACGGCCCAGACUCCUACGGGAGGCAGCAGUGGGGAAUCUUGGACAAUGGGCGAAAGCCUGAUCCAGCCAUGCCGCGUGGAUGACGAAGGCCCUAGGGUUGUAAAAUCCUUUCGUUGGGGACGAUAAUGACGGUACCCAAAGAAGAAGCUCCGGCUAACUUCGUGCCAGCAGCCGCGGUAA